RNAcentral lists this ribosomal RNA (353 nucleotides) under uncultured bacterium. RNAcentral's name for it is "bacterial SSU rRNA". It matches the Rfam family "Bacterial small subunit ribosomal RNA", at positions 29 to 412 of the family's 1533-position model. The record is from RNAcentral.
AACGAACGCUGGCGGCAGGCCUAACACAUGCAAGUCGAGCGCCCAGCAAUGGGAGCGGCAGACGGGUGAGUAACGCGUGGGAACCUUCCCAAUGGUACGGAAUAGCUCAGGGAAACUUGAGGUAAUACCGAAUAAGCCCGAAAGGGAAGAUUUAUCGCCAUUGGAUGGGCCCGCGUAGGAUUAGCUAGUUGGUGAGGUAAUGGCUCACCAAGGCGACGAUCCUUAGCUGGUUUGAGAGAAUGACCAGCCACACUGGGACUGAGACACGGCCCAGACUCCUACGGGAGGCAGCAGGCGGGGAAUCUUGGACAAUGGGCGCAAGCCUGAUCCAGCCAUGCCGCGUGAGUGACGAA